GGAGUAAUGGCCGAGUGGCUGAAGGCGGCACCCUGCUAAGGUGUUAUGUGGGUCUAACCUGCAUCUAGGGUUCAAAUCCCUAUUACUCCG
Non-coding RNA from Brachyspira sp. CAG:484, 90 nucleotides. NCBI's taxonomy places the organism in Bacteria, Pseudomonadati, Spirochaetota, Spirochaetia, Brachyspirales, Brachyspiraceae. The record is from Rfam.